CUCGUGGCGAAGUCUCGAAUGGCAUUUUCUCAACACCAAUUGCGGCCUGAUGGAACUCGAACCGUUGGCUGCGCUAAGUUCGUCCGCCAGGGACGACGAGGACUGCAUGGACAUGUGACCGAUGGGCAGACCUGCGAAGAGGGCUCGUGUAACACGAAUUCGUGCUACGCACGGAUACCUUUCCCCGAAACGACGAGACAGUUGAAAAACUGGAUGCUCAACAUGGCGACGUCCACGUUGAACCGAACCACCGUUGAGACACGCGAUCGAUGCGCAUCGGUACAGCGACGACUGAUCGCGUGUGGCCAUCGCAACGAGUCUUUCAAAUCCGCGGAUCUCGAACGAGAGACAGUUAGGCCGGUCGGGUUUUUAUUCCUUCCUCUGCUCCUACGAGAUGGCAACCGAAUCGACAAACCG
This is a long non-coding RNA of Hylaeus anthracinus, 417 nucleotides long. RefSeq lists it as uncharacterized. Lineage: Eukaryota; Metazoa; Arthropoda; Insecta; Hymenoptera; Colletidae. The record is from RefSeq and is a predicted model, not a curated record. The transcript is spliced from 3 exons.